RNAcentral lists this ribosomal RNA (547 nucleotides) under uncultured bacterium. RNAcentral's name for it is "bacterial SSU rRNA". It matches the Rfam family "Bacterial small subunit ribosomal RNA", at positions 355 to 896 of the family's 1533-position model. The record is from RNAcentral.
UGGGGAAUAUUGCACAAUGGGGGGAACCCUGAUGCAGCCAUGCCGCGUGAAUGAAGAAGGCCUUCGGGUUGUAAAGUUCUUUCGGUGACGAGGAAGGUUGGUAGGUUAAUAGCCUAUCAAAUUGACGUUAAUCACAGAAGAAGCACCGGCUAACUCCGUGCCAGCAGCCGCGGUAAUACGGGGGGUGCGAGCGUUAAUCGGAAUAACUGGGCGUAAAGGGCACGCAGGCGGUGGCUUAAGUGAGAUGUGAAAGCCCCGAGCUUAACUUGGGAAUUGCAUUUCAUACUGGGUCGCUAGAGUACUUUAGGGAGGGGUAGAAUUCCACGUGUAGCGGUGAAAUGCGUAGAGAUGUGGAGGAAUACCGAAGGCGAAGGCAGCCCCUUGGGAAUGUACUGACGCUCAUGUGCGAAAGCGUGGGGAGCAAACAGGAUUAGAUACCCUGGUAGUCCACGCUGUAAACGAUGUCGAUUUGGGGAUUGGGCUUUGAGCUUGGUGCCCGUAGCUAACGUGAUAAAUCGACCGCCUGGGGAGUACGGCCGCAAGGUUA